UAGUGGCGAACGGGUGAGUAACACGUGGGCAAUCUGCCCUGCACUCUGGGACAAGCCCUGGAAACGGGGUCUAAUACCGGAUAAUACUGUGCCCCUCAUGGGGGACGGUUAAAAGCUCCGGCGGUGCAGGAUGAGCCCGCGGCCUAUCAGCUUGUUGGUGGGGUAAUGGCCUACCAAGGCGACGACGGGUAGCCGGCCUGAGAGGGCGACCGGCCACACUGGGACUGAGACACGGCCCAGACUCCUACGGGAGGCAGCAGUGGGGAAUAUUGCACAAUGGGCGAAAGCCUGAUGCAGCGACGCCGCGUGAGGGAUGACGGCCUUCGGGUUGUAAACCUCUUUCAGCAGGGAAGAAGCGAAAGUGACGGUACCUGCAGAAGAAGCGCCGGCUAACUACGUGCCAGCAGCCGCGGUAAUACGUAGGGCGCAAGCGUUGUCCGGAAUUAUUGGGCGUAAAGAGCUCGUAGGCGGUUUGUCACGUCGGGUGU
Molecule: ribosomal RNA, 488 nt
Filed under: Streptomyces sp. 313B09
Lineage: Bacteria; Bacillati; Actinomycetota; Actinomycetes; Kitasatosporales; Streptomycetaceae
Description: bacterial SSU rRNA
Rfam family: Bacterial small subunit ribosomal RNA
Source: RNAcentral